UGGCUCAGUGGUAGAGUGCUUGCCUAGCAUGCAGGAAGCCCUGGGUUCGAUUCCUCAG
RNAcentral lists this transfer RNA (58 nucleotides) under Dipodomys ordii (Ord's kangaroo rat). It matches the Rfam family "tRNA", at positions 8 to 63 of the family's 71-position model. From Rfam's summary of the family: Transfer RNA (tRNA) molecules are approximately 80 nucleotides in length. Their secondary structure includes four short double-helical elements and three loops (D, anti-codon, and T loops). The record is from Rfam by way of RNAcentral. Lineage: Eukaryota; Metazoa; Chordata; Mammalia; Rodentia; Heteromyidae.